CCCCAGUAACGGCGAGUGAACAGGGAAAAGCUCAAAGUUGGAACCUCCUGGCCUUAGGUUAGGCGGAUUGUAAACUAAAGCUCUCGAGUAGUUUGGUUAGCCCGGUAAAUAAGUUCUCUGGAAAGGGACGACAAAGAGGGUGAGAUCCCCGUUUUUGGCCGGAGCAUAAUCUUGCGUUUGCUUGGGAAUGAAGAGUCAGGUUGUUUGGUAUUGCAGCCUAAAGGUGGAGGUAAAUCUCUCCUAAAGCUAAAUAUUGACGAAAGACCGAUAGCGAACAAGUACCGUGAGGGAAAGAUGAAAAGCACCUUGAAAAGGGGGUCAAAAAGUACGUGAAAUUGCUGAAAGGGAACCGUAUGAAAUCAGCUUGGCCUUGUAGUCAUCAGCCUGAACUUUGGUUUGGGUGCACUGGCUACUAGGUACAGCCUAGGACAAUUUUGUUUGGAGGAAAAAAUCAGGGGAAAUGUGGCCUCGGCUU
Molecule: ribosomal RNA, 475 nt
Filed under: Absidia sp. (in: mucoromycotan fungi)
Lineage: Eukaryota; Fungi; Mucoromycota; Mucoromycetes; Mucorales; Cunninghamellaceae
Description: eukaryotic LSU rRNA
Rfam family: Eukaryotic large subunit ribosomal RNA
Source: RNAcentral